This 309-nucleotide ribosomal RNA is filed under the name uncultured archaeon. RNAcentral's name for it is "bacterial SSU rRNA". It matches the Rfam family "Archaeal small subunit ribosomal RNA", at positions 526 to 834 of the family's 1478-position model. The record is from RNAcentral.
CGGCCGGACAAGUUUGUUGGGAAAUCCACGUGCUUAACACGUGGGCGUCCAGCGAAAACUGUCUGGCUUGGGGCCGGAAGACUCGAGGGGUACGUCCGGGGUAGGAGUGAAAUCCCGUAAUCCUGGACGGACCGCCGGUGGCGAAAGCGCCUCGAGAGGACGGACCCGACGGUGAGGGACGAAAGCCAGGGUCUCGAACCGGAUUAGAUACCCGGGUAGUCCUGGCCGUAAACGAUGUCUGCUAGGUGUGGCGCAGGCUACGAGCCUGCGCUGUGCCGUAGGGAAGCCGUGAAGCAGACCGCCUGGGAA